Molecule: non-coding RNA, 31 nt
Filed under: Rattus norvegicus (Norway rat)
Lineage: Eukaryota; Metazoa; Chordata; Mammalia; Rodentia; Muridae
Source: RNAcentral
UUCACAGUGCUGGCAAGGAACUUUCUGUGAA